RNAcentral lists this ribosomal RNA (773 nucleotides) under uncultured bacterium. RNAcentral describes it as "bacterial SSU rRNA". It matches the Rfam family "Bacterial small subunit ribosomal RNA", at positions 1 to 821 of the family's 1533-position model. The record is from RNAcentral.
CCCUUAGAGUUUGAUCCUGGCUCAGAACGAACGCUGGCGGCAUGCCUAAUACAUGCAAGUCGAACGAGACCUUCGGGUCUAGUGGCGCACGGGUGCGUAACGCGUGGGAAUCUGCCCUUGGGUUCGGAAUAACAUCGGGAAACUGAUGCUAAUACCGGAUGAUGACGUAAGUCCAAAGAUUUAUCGCCCAGGGAUGAGCCCGCGUAGGAUUAGCUAGUUGGUGAGGUAAAGGCUCACCAAGGCGACGAUCCUUAGCUGGUCUGAGAGGAUGAUCAGCCACACUGGGACUGAGACACGGCCCAGACUCCUACGGGAGGCAGCAGUAGGGAAUAUUGGACAAUGGGGGCAACCCUGAUCCAGCAAUGCCGCGUGAGUGAUGAAGGCCUUAGGGUUGUAAAGCUCUUUUACCCGGGAUGAUAAUGACAGUACCGGGAGAAUAAGCCCCGGCUAACUCCGUGCCAGCAGCCGCGGUAAUACGGAGGGGGCUAGCGUUGUUCGGAAUUAUUGGGCGUAAAGCGCACGUAGGCGGCUCGGUAAGUCUCACUGUGAAAGCCCGGGGCUCAACCCCGGGAGGCCAGGGGAUACUGUCGAGCUGGAGACAAGUAGAGGCGAGUAGAAUUCCGGGUGUAGCGGUGGAAUGCGUAGAGAUCCGGAGGAAUACCAGAGGCGAAGGCGGCUCGCUGGACUUGGUCUGACGCUGAGGUGCGAAAGCGUGGGGAGCGAACAGGAUUAGAUACCCUGGUAGUCCACGCCGUAAACGAUGGGCACUAGAU